CGGGGCAGAGACGAGCGGCUCGGCCACACGAUGGGGAGCGCCUGGAGUCAGCAGAAGCUGGAAGGGGUGAAGACAGAGUCUCCCCUGGAGCCUUCAGAGGCCACGCUCAGAAUUCUGGCCCCCAGAACAGAGACUUUGGCCUUAAUACUUGGAAUGUUUCCAGCAGCUUCAGACAGGAUGUUCAGGCUGUGCAGAAGGCUGGGAAACUGGUUUCUGUUCUAAACAAGCACAGGAAGAGGAACAAGGGCCCGUGGGCCCAUGUGCCCAACCACUGAGUCUGCACUCGAGAGCCCGUGCUCCGCAGCAAGAGAAGCCGCUGCACUGAGAGGCCUCGGCACCGCAAAUGGAGAAAGCGCACGCGCAGUGGCGACGAC
This is a long non-coding RNA of Bubalus bubalis (water buffalo), 374 nucleotides long. RefSeq lists it as uncharacterized. The transcript is spliced from 3 exons. Lineage: Eukaryota; Metazoa; Chordata; Mammalia; Artiodactyla; Bovidae. The record is from RefSeq and is a predicted model, not a curated record.